This 253-nucleotide ribosomal RNA is filed under the name uncultured bacterium. RNAcentral describes it as "partial 16S ribosomal RNA". It matches the Rfam family "Bacterial small subunit ribosomal RNA", at positions 524 to 776 of the family's 1533-position model. The record is from RNAcentral.
UACGUAGGGCGCGAGCGUUGUCCGGAAUCAUUGGGCGUAAAGCGCUCGUAGGCGGCCUGUCGCGUCUGCUGUGAAAUCCCGGGGCUCAACCCCGGGCGUGCAGUGGAUACGGGCUGGCUGGAGGCAGGCAGGGGAGAACGGAAUUCCCGGUGUAGCGGUGAAAUGCGCAGAUAUCGGGAGGAACACCGGUGGCGAAGGCGGUUCUCUGGGCCUGUACUGACGCUGAGGAGCGAAAGCGUGGGGAGCGAACAGG